RNAcentral lists this ribosomal RNA (764 nucleotides) under Hypotrachyna kenyana. RNAcentral describes it as "SSU rRNA". It matches the Rfam family "Bacterial small subunit ribosomal RNA", at positions 357 to 1118 of the family's 1533-position model. Lineage: Eukaryota; Fungi; Ascomycota; Lecanoromycetes; Lecanorales; Parmeliaceae. The record is from RNAcentral.
AGGAAUGUAUAGCAAUAGCUAGUGCAUCAUUGUAAAUUUGAUGCAAGAUUGACUAUGUUGAAUAAAAUUCUAGGUAGAGUUAUGAUAAUGACAUUUUCUGCCUAUGUGUCUUGACCAAAUUACGUGCCAGCAGUCGCGGUAAUACGUAGAAGACUAGUGUUAUUCAUGUUUAAUCGGUUUAAAGGGUACCUAGACGGCAGAUCAAGCUUUUCCAACAGAAAAAAAAUAAAAAGGACUAAUUUGCUAGAGUUACUUACGAGGGGGUUUUAAAGUACUGCUGGUGUAGAGAUGAAAUUCUGUCAUACCUCUUUCGAAAGAAAAUAAUGGCACAGGUAUAGGCGAAGGCAUCCCCUUAUGGGAUAACUGACGUUGAGGGACGAAGGCUUUAUAUAACGAACAGGAUUAGGUACCCUAGUAGUGGAAGCAGUAAAUGAUGAAUGUCAUAGAUUAGAUUAGUUUAUUCUAUAAAUGAAAGUGUAAGCAUUCCACCUCAUGAGUAAUUUGGCAACAUUGGAAUUGAAAUCAUUAGACCGUUUCUGAAACCAGUAGUGAAGUAUGUUGUUUAAUUUGAUGAUCCGCAAAAAACCUUACCACAAUUUGAAUAUUUAUAUAAUAUUUUUUCUUUAUUAAUUAAAAAUAAACAAAUUAUAAGUUAAUAAAGAGGCAAUAAGAUAUAUUUACAAGCGUUGCACGGCUGUCUUCAGUUAAUGUCGCGAGAUUUUGGUUAGAUCCAUUAAAUUAACGUAGACCCUUACUUUAUUCUU